GGUGGUGGAAAGCUUUUGUGGUUUUGGAUGGACUCGCGGCCUAUCAGCUUGUUGGUGGGGUAAUGGCCUACCAAGGCGACGACGGGUAGCCGGCCUGAGAGGGUGACCGGCCACACUGGGACUGAGACACGGCCCAGACUCCUACGGGAGGCAGCAGUGGGGAAUAUUGCACAAUGGGCGCAAGCCUGAUGCAGCGACGCGCGUGAGGGAUGANGCUUCGGGUUGUAACCUCUUCAGUAGGGAGAAGCGUAAGUGACGGUACUGCAGAAGAAGCGCCGGCUAACUACGUGCCAGCAGCCGCGGUAAUACGUAGGGCGCAAGCGUUAUCCGGGAAUUAUUGGGCGUAAAGAGCUCGUAGGCGGUUUGUCGCGUCUGCUGUGAAAGACCGGGGCUCAACUCCGGUUCUGCAGUGGGUACGGGCAGACUAGAGUGCAGUAGGGGAGACUGGAAUUCCUGGUGUAGCGGUGAAAUGCGCAGAUAUCAGGAGGAACACCGAUGGCGAAGGCAGGUCUCUGGGCUGUAACUGACGCUGAGGAGCGAAAGCAUGGGGAGCGAACAGGAUUAGAUACCCUGGUAGUCCAUGCCGUAAACGUUGGGCACUAGGUGUGGGGGACAUUCCACGUUUUCCGCGCCGUAGCUAACGCAUUAAGUGCCCCGCCUGGGGAGUACGGCCGCAAGGCUAAAACUCAAAGGAAUUGACGGGGGCCCGCACAAGCGGCGGAGCAUGCGGAUUAAUUCGAUGCAACGCGAAGAACCUUACCAAGGCUUGACAUGAACCGGUAAUACCUGGAAACAGGUGCCCCGCUUGCGGUCGGUUUACAGGUGGUGCAUGGUUGUCGUCAGCUCGUGUCGUGAGAUGUUGGGUUAAGUCCCGCAACGAGCGCAACCCUCGUUCUAUGUUGCCAGCGGUUCGGCCGGGGACUCAUAGGAGACUGCCGGGGUCAACUCGGAGGAAGGUGGGGACGACGUCAAAUCAUCAUGCCCCUUAUGUCUUGGGCUUCACGCAUGCUACAAUGGCCGGUACAAAGGGUUGCGAUACUGUGAGGUGGAGCUAAUCCCAAAAAGCCGGUCUCAGUUCGGAUUGGGGUCUGCAACUCGACCCCAUGAAGUCGGAGUCGCUAGUAAUCGCAGAUCAGCAACGCUGCGGUGAAUACGUUCCCGGGCCUUGUACACACCGCCCGUCAAGUCACGAAAGUUGGUAACACCCGAAGCCGGUGGCCUAACCCUUGUGGGGGGAGCCGUCGAAGGUG
RNAcentral lists this ribosomal RNA (1250 nucleotides) under Arthrobacter sp. S131b. RNAcentral describes it as "bacterial SSU rRNA". It matches the Rfam family "Bacterial small subunit ribosomal RNA", at positions 195 to 1464 of the family's 1533-position model. Lineage: Bacteria; Bacillati; Actinomycetota; Actinomycetes; Micrococcales; Micrococcaceae. The record is from RNAcentral.